AACGAACGCUGGCGGCAGGCCUAACACAUGCAAGUCGAGCGAGGACUUCGGUUCUAGCGGCGGACGGGUGAGUAACGCGUGGGAAUGUGCCCUUCUCUACGGAAUAUCCCUGGGAAACUGGGAGUAAUACCGUAUACGCCCUAUUGGGGAAAGAUUUAUCGGAGAAGGAUCAGCCCGCGUUGGAUUAGGUAGUUGUUGGGGUAAUGGCCUACCAAGCCGACGAUCCAUAGCUGGUUUGAGAGGAUGAUCAGCCACACUGGGACUGAGACACGGCCCAGACUCCUACGGGAGGCAGCAGUGGGGAAUCUUAGACAAUGGGGGCAACCCUGAUCUAGCCAUGCCGCGUGAGUGAUGAAGGCCUUAGGGUUGUAAAGCUCUUUCAGCUGGGAAGAUAAUGACGGUACCAGAAGAAGAAGCCCCGGCUAACUCCGUG
RNAcentral lists this ribosomal RNA (433 nucleotides) under uncultured bacterium. RNAcentral's name for it is "partial 16S ribosomal RNA". It matches the Rfam family "Bacterial small subunit ribosomal RNA", at positions 29 to 507 of the family's 1533-position model. The record is from RNAcentral.